Molecule: long non-coding RNA, 1180 nt
Organism: Arachis duranensis
Lineage: Eukaryota; Viridiplantae; Streptophyta; Magnoliopsida; Fabales; Fabaceae
Exons: 2
Source: RefSeq, a predicted model, not a curated record
UAGAACAUUAAAAUUUUUAGAGACGGGGAUUGAAACUUCACUAAUAUUUAUUUUCUAAAAUACCUUCGAUCAAAAUUUGAAAAUCCAACACUACCCCAAUUAUUUAAGGCCUUCUCCUUCGUUCUUUCUCUGCAAACUCACCCUACUCAAAUCGUGACCUCAUUGUCGCCACCAGGAUCAGCCUGUCUUCGUCGUCAGUGGCUUCCUUUUUUCUCUCUUCUCCCUAAUUCCCACGCUGUCAGUGUUUGCUUGCCUCUUGAAUACUUCUUCGUCCUCUUCUUUCUGCAUCUCGUGUCAACCGCCUUGACUUCGUCGUGCCUGUCGCUGUCGGCACCCCCUUUGCCAUUUUGAAAGAGAAAAUCAUUACCUUUCAUUACCACCGAAAAAAAGACAUGCCUUUAUUGUGAAUUAUGAGUAUCUUGUACAAAUUGUGGGUACAGUUUGACACGGAUGAAAUUGUUGAUGAAAAUGCCUACGACGGGAAUCUCCCGUGAAGUGGAAUUCGCCAUCAACUUAACCCAGGCGCUCACGAAAUGGAGCAGAUGCAAGUCAGGACCAAGUCAAAAACAUCAUAAGUGGGUGUGGGUAUAUUUAUAUAUAAAUAAAAGAUAACUCAGCUGCAUCGCCUGGGAAUUGGAGGAGUUGUAGGUUGAGGAUCCAUGCUGCUUCUGGCACAUGCAAAAUGGCCACAUCAGCUAUGUCACCCACGACAUGGGCGCCUGGGCUGAGUUAAUGGCGAAUUUGACUUUGCGGGCGGCUCCCAUAAAUUGGCCGUGUGCAUUUUCAUCAACAAUUUUAUCUAUGCGCAUUUUGGAAAUUAAUAAUUUUAUAUAUUUAUUUAAAUAAAAAAACCUCUAUAUUGAUGUGACAGAAUUUUCUUUGAACAUGCUUUGUUUUAGUAUUUGAUUAUUUAUGUUCUGGCCAUGCCUUGAUCUGGAUUUGGAUAAGGAAAUAGUCAUAUUUAGUUAUGUUUGUUUGAUUUGGAAUUACUAUAUUAUGAAUUUGUAUGGAGAAAUUUGAAGAAAAGCGAAAAGAAGAAAGAGAGAAUCAACAAGGGGUAUUCAAGUAACUUUGUUUGUUUUAGUCUCUGUAUUUUUUUUUAAACCAAAUAGAAUACUGAGACAAUUUAAUUUUGUACACUUUACAUUAAACAUAAUACUUAAAUUUAAUUUAGUCUCUA